UCCGUAGGUGAACCUGCGGAAGGAUCAUUAAUGAAUUUUAUGGCGGAAUUGUAGCUGGCCCCAACCGGGCAUGUGCACAUUCUGUUCAUUCCAUUCUCAUACACCUCUGUGCACUUUACAUAGGUUUGGUAUAGAAAAGGUCUUUAUUGACUUUGGAAAUACUGACCUAUGCUUUUAUAAACGCUUCAGUUUUAGAAUGUCAUCCGCGUAUAACGCAAUAAAUACAACUUUCAGCAACGGAUCUCUUGGCUCUCGCAUCGAUGAAGAACGCAGCGAAAUGCGAUAAGUAAUGUGAAUUGCAGAAUUCAGUGAAUCAUCGAAUCUUUGAACGCAUCUUGCGCCCUUUGGUAUUCCGAAGGGCAUGCCUGUUUGAGUGUCAUGGUAUUCUCAAUACCCCAAAUCUUUGCGGAUAAGGGUGUGUUGGACUUGGAGGUUUUUGCAGGUAAUGAUUGUAUUACCAGCUCCUCUUAAAUGCAUUAGCAGAGAUAAUACUGCUACUCUCCAGUGUGAUAAUUGUCUACACUGUUAGUAGUGCGGUAUAACAAAAUGUCUAUGCUUCUAAUCGUCUUCGGACAACUUUUGACAAUCUGACCUCAAAUCAGGUAGGACUACCCGCUGAACUUAAGCAUAUCAAUAACCGGAGGAAAAAGAAACUAACAAGGAUUCCCCUAGUAA
RNAcentral lists this ribosomal RNA (675 nucleotides) under uncultured fungus. Its description in RNAcentral is "eukaryotic LSU rRNA". The stretch from base 226 to 379 matches the Rfam family "5.8S ribosomal RNA". Lineage: Eukaryota; Fungi. The record is from RNAcentral.